Molecule: ribosomal RNA, 483 nt
Filed under: Levilactobacillus brevis
Lineage: Bacteria; Bacillati; Bacillota; Bacilli; Lactobacillales; Lactobacillaceae
Description: bacterial SSU rRNA
Rfam family: Bacterial small subunit ribosomal RNA
Source: RNAcentral
GGGGAUAACACUUGGAAACAGGUGCUAAUACCGUAUAACAACAAAAUCCGCAUGGAUUUUGUUUGAAAGGUGGCUUCGGCUAUCACUUCUGGAUGAUCCCGCGGCGUAUUAGUUAGUUGGUGAGGUAAAGGCCCACCAAGACGAUGAUACGUAGCCGACCUGAGAGGGUAAUCGGCCACAUUGGGACUGAGACACGGCCCAAACUCCUACGGGAGGCAGCAGUAGGGAAUCUUCCACAAUGGACGAAAGUCUGAUGGAGCAAUGCCGCGUGAGUGAAGAAGGGUUUCGGCUCGUAAAACUCUGUUGUUAAAGAAGAACACCUUUGAGAGUAACUGUUCAAGGGUUGACGGUAUUUAACCAGAAAGCCACGGCUAACUACGUGCCAGCAGCCGCGGUAAUACGUAGGUGGCAAGCGUUGUCCGGAUUUAUUGGGCGUAAAGCGAGCGCAGGCGGUUUUUUAAGUCUGAUGUGAAAGCCUUCGGC